This 75-nucleotide small RNA is filed under the name Marmota monax (woodchuck). The record is from RNAcentral. Lineage: Eukaryota; Metazoa; Chordata; Mammalia; Rodentia; Sciuridae.
GCCAGGUGCAGUGGCGCAUGCCUGUAAUCCUAGCAACUCUGGAGGCUGAAGCAGGAGAAUCAAAGCCAGCCUCAU